GGCGCAUUUUCGGUAUAAAAUAAAGUCAAUACUCAUGUAGAGUUUAGCAGCUCACACUUUCUAUUGCUUCAAAUACGCAAAUGAGAGAUAUGGAAAUUUUACCCACGUAGAACGAUAUGUUUCUGAAAAUAUAGCAGUGCAUUUCUGUAGAGCCUCUAGAUUGUUAAUAAAACUCACGUCAAAUCGUAAUCAUUGCUGAUUAAAC
Molecule: long non-coding RNA, 205 nt
Filed under: Mytilus galloprovincialis (Mediterranean mussel)
Lineage: Eukaryota; Metazoa; Mollusca; Bivalvia; Mytilida; Mytilidae
Source: RNAcentral